Long non-coding RNA from Anneissia japonica, 1403 nucleotides. RefSeq lists it as uncharacterized. The record is from RefSeq and is a predicted model, not a curated record. Lineage: Eukaryota; Metazoa; Echinodermata; Crinoidea; Comatulida; Comatulidae. The transcript has 2 exons.
AUCAUCAUCACUUUUAUUAUUAGAAAACAGUUACGAUGUACAAUAAACCUACACGAAAGAGGUGGAAAUAGUACUACCAAACGUUUUCGCUUUAAAUUAAAUAAUCUGCAAAUAUUGACGUCAAAGUAAAGGAGAUUACUAUACAUAAAGUUUGACAUCAUAAAUUAUAAACAAGUUAUGAUAUAAAAUUAUCCAACUCGGUAUCAAAAACAAUUUAAUCAAUGUGUAAAAAAAUUGUUAUGAUAGAAUGACGUUAUGCAAAGUUUAAAUCAGACAAUAUAGCGGUCCUUCAGACAGGGUUGUAAUUUACCGCCACUUUUAUUCGACUUAAAUAACUAUUCCUCAUUAAAUAAAUUUUCUAGCACAAAAGUUUUAAAAGGAAUUAAUUGAUACACAGAUAUUGCUAUGUUAAUAGCCCAAUAAUUUUUAAUAUAACACUUAGAUACCGGUAUGUUUGAUUUUGAUGUGGAAAAAAACAAAGUCAUCUUCUCAUAAGGGGCGUAACAGUGAAGAUCGCUGAACGUUGGAGAUACAAAGGGAUUUGUGAAAUUCUCCGUGAAAAUCCAAAAGGUUGAGUGUAAGCAGGUUCCAUCAAGCAGCUGUCGCCGUUUACACAACCAGCGCUAACUUCACAAGAAUAGGCCGUUUUUCUAAUUCAUUAACCUUCUAGCCACAUCGAAAUUAUUCCACUAAUUAUAUUAUAUGAUGGAUGUGUUCGGUUUGCCCAGUCCCUUGACAUUUUUGGCGCGUACAAAUUACAAUUUUAUUUCCACUCUAUCGUCAUUUAAUCGUUGUUGGAAUUUUUGCAGAUUCACCAAGAUUACUGAAACCUGCAAGUCAGGCCAUAGAAACUCGUUGCAUCACAUGUUGAAGUUUAUUGAGGGUCAUUUGACAUGAAUUGUAUAUCUCGGGUCAGAGAGGUGGUAAAAAAAUUAUAGAUGACAAUGCACAAAUAAGAAAUAAUAUAAGAGUACAGUACUUGGCAAUUCUGUACAACAAACGAAUAAUCUAGAAUACAACAUUUCACAAUUGGCAUACGUACCGUACACGGAGGCCUUGUCUGUUAAUAGGCUAUUAUAACUUACACUUUUUCGGGCAAAGACCGCUGGAGGUAAUUCAAUAGAAACUCCGACCAUCCCACCCUUAGGGUAUUCGGUCUGCAGAGUGCCGAAUUCAGAACGUUAGGCUUACCCACUGGGGAGACUGAAUCCACUGUGGGUAAGGAAUCCCUCGAAACUGAUAGUAGUAUGAGUCACAUGUAGUAGUAGUACUAGUAGUAGUAGACCUAAAAUGUUUCUAAAAUGUAAUAAUGAUGUAUUAGUACUACUGCACUACGGUAUCAGCAGCAGGUCCCACUAUUCUACUCUACUAUGUAUAGUUUAUAAAUAAAAAUAAAAUAUAUA